RNAcentral lists this ribosomal RNA (254 nucleotides) under uncultured bacterium. Its description in RNAcentral is "partial 16S ribosomal RNA". It matches the Rfam family "Bacterial small subunit ribosomal RNA", at positions 524 to 776 of the family's 1533-position model. The record is from RNAcentral.
CACGUAGGCACCAAGCGUUGUCCGGAUUUAUUGGGCGUAAAGAGCUCGUAGGCGGUUGAGUAAGUCGGGUGUGAAAACUCUGGGCUUAACCCAGAGCCGCCACUCGAUACUGCUCUGACUUGAGUUCGGUAGGGGAGUGGGGAAUUCCUGGUGUAGCGGUGAAAUGCGCAGAUAUCAGGAGGAACACCGGUGGCGAAGGCGCCACUCUGGGCCGAAACUGACGCUGAGGAGCGAAAGCGUGGGUAGCAAACAGG